AAAGAAAUCAUAUAUUGGAUAAAGCUGUUGGAUUACAAUGGUUGAUAUUACAAGGGAAACAUCAUCGAAAUGUGAUGCAUAACCUAAAUAUUUUCUUGACAGCGAAACUUACAUAAAAAGCAUCCUUCAACAUCCCUACAACUUAACUAAACUUAACCGGGGAACACCAUCCGACAGAAACAUCAUCCCUACAACUUAACUAAAACUGAUAGCAUCCAUCAUCAUCAUCAUGGACCGGAACAUCAUUAUCAUCAUGAAACGGAACAUCAUCAUCAUUGCAAUAUACUUGCCACGCACCAUUAUAAUCAUCCAUAUAUCUUUUGAAUCUACAAAGAAAAUAACAAAAUGAACUGUUAAUACACAAUGCAUUGACAUGAUGAAUGUAGUGAUAGAGGCAGCAGGAUGUUAGGCACGUACGUACAAAGGUUGAAGGCUAUGCAAUCUUCUUUUUUCUGCAUUAUCGAGAGUAUUGCAGCUUUUGCGACUCCGUACCGAAUCUUCAGUUUUCACAAGUGCCAUAUCGACAUGCACUACCAAGAAUUCAUUUGUAAUUUUAGCAUCAUCAAGUUUAAAUUUAGGAUCACAACUUACAACUAUAGCAAGAGCUACGUCCCUAUUAUGAUUGUGAAAAGAUACCGGCAUGAGUGUUAGUUGUCAUUGAUGACUAAUCACGACGCCACAAUAUAUGACACAGCCUGCAGAAAAACAUGGCUUAAUAAAAUUAUAUGGAGAGUAGCCUAAGUGCUGAUGUGCAUUCAAGGGCAAUUGUGAGUGACAGUACCACUUCUUUUCUCUUCUCCAUUUAGUUAGCAAACUGAACUAAAAAGGUUUUAGUGAUCUGAAACCAAAACAUUUAGCUCUAGUUGGUUUCAGUCAUCCAACAGGAAACAAACAAACCUAAAGGUGCUCACCACGCUUUGGAACAAAACUACAGCCUCAAAUCCACUGAAACGAAUUUACAUAGUUAUCACCAGCCUAGAGAUCCAUUGCUAAUUCUGUACACCUACAGUCAAACUGUUUUGUGUGAACCAACAGAAUUAUUUAUUACUAAAUAAAUUCACUGACCUACAGCCCCAAAUGCUAUAAAUUGGCAUGGACAGCAGCAUAGAACCUAGCACGGCUCAAUGGUCGUGGACACAUUGAGCAGUACCAUGGUAGGGAGAGGGAGAGAGUAUACCUUCCAUGGCAUCGUCCAUGACUUGCUCCACGAACUCGACUUGCUCCAUGGAGUCGCCGUACAUCGAGUUGGUGCGUGUAG
This 1258-nucleotide long non-coding RNA is filed under the name Triticum aestivum (bread wheat). RNAcentral's name for it is "long non-coding RNA (TAES_LNC021481)". Lineage: Eukaryota; Viridiplantae; Streptophyta; Magnoliopsida; Poales; Poaceae. The record is from RNAcentral.